UGGACUUUAUUUGCGCAGCAUAGGUGGGAGGCAUUGAGUUUAUUCUUGCGGGAAUUUAGGAGCCAUCAGUGAGAUACCACUCUGGUAAUGUUAGAUUUCUAACUUUGUAUCAUGAUCUGGUCAAAGAACAGUUUCAGGCGGGCAGUUUGACUGGGGCGGUCGCCUCCCAAAUGGUAACGGAGGCGUACAAAGGUUUCCUCUGAACGUGUAGAAAUCGUAUCUAGAGUGUAAAGGCAUAGGGAAGCUUGACUGUGAGACCUACAAGUCGAGCAGGGACGAAAGUCGGUCUUAGUGAUCUGACGGUGCUGAGUGGAAAGGCCGUCACUCAACGGAUAAAAGUUACUCUAGGGAUAACAGGCUGA
This 362-nucleotide ribosomal RNA is filed under the name uncultured eukaryote. RNAcentral's name for it is "LSU rRNA". It matches the Rfam family "Bacterial large subunit ribosomal RNA", at positions 2124 to 2485 of the family's 2925-position model. The record is from RNAcentral.